Molecule: ribosomal RNA, 465 nt
Filed under: uncultured bacterium
Lineage: Bacteria
Description: partial 16S ribosomal RNA
Rfam family: Bacterial small subunit ribosomal RNA
Source: RNAcentral
CCUACGGGCGGCAGCAGUGAGGAAUAUUGCGCAAUGGGCGUAAGCCUGACGCAGCGAAGCCGCGUGAGGGAUGAAGGUCUUCGGAUCGUAAAACUCUGUCAGCAGGGAAGAACGGUCACUGUGCUAAUCAGCAGUGAAUUGACGGUACCUGCAAAGGAAGCACCGGCUAACUCCGUGCCAGCAGCCGCGGUAAUACGGAGGGUGCGAGCGUUAAUCGGAAUUACUGGGCGUAAAGGGAUCGUAGGCGGUAUUUCAAGUAAAGUGUGAAAUCCCCGCGCUCAACGUGGGAACUGCCUUUGAAACUGGCAAACUGGAGUGUGUGAGAGGAUAGUGGAAUUCCAGGUGUAGGAGUGAAAUCCGUAGAUAUCUGGAGGAACAUCAGUGGCGAAGGCGACUAUCUGGCACAUAACUGACGCUGAGGAGCGAAAGCGUGGGUAGCAAACAGGAUUAGAUACCCGAGUAGUC